CGCACAUUGCGCCUCCUGGUAUUCCGGAAGGCAUGCUUGUUCGAGCGUCGUUUAAACUAUAUCAAUUUAAUCAUUGAUGUGUUGAAAGCUUUUGUUUCUAGCAAAACUUUCCAAAAUUAUUGAAGCGAUCUUGACUGAUUAUUAUUGAACGCAUUAAGUUUUAUUUACUCGUGCAAGAAAAUCAGUGAGAGAUUAGCCUUGACUUUAUACAAAUUUUAUUAUCGACCUCGAAUCAAGUAGGAUUACCCGCUGAACUUAA
RNAcentral lists this unclassified non-coding RNA (259 nucleotides) under Taitaia aurea. Its description in RNAcentral is "partial contains 5.8S ribosomal RNA, internal transcribed spacer 2, and large subunit ribosomal RNA". The record is from RNAcentral. Lineage: Eukaryota; Fungi; Ascomycota; Lecanoromycetes; Ostropales; Graphidaceae.